This is a long non-coding RNA of Marmota monax (woodchuck), 2931 nucleotides long. RefSeq lists it as uncharacterized. NCBI's taxonomy places the organism in Eukaryota, Metazoa, Chordata, Mammalia, Rodentia, Sciuridae. The record is from RefSeq and is a predicted model, not a curated record. The transcript has 3 exons.
GCGCUCUCGGGGGCGCUGCUCUUUAGAGGCUCAGACAAGGGGACUGGGAAUCCUGGUUAGAUGAGGCACCGGCGGCGGCGGCGGCAGCCCUCCCGGGUCCCACUUCUGUGGCGAAUCCUCCUGCCUGGGACUCCAGGCAAGUGACUUGCAUCAGAAGUCUCAGCUCCAAAUGCUUUGCUUUAAGAAGCUGGAGCCUUGACCGUUCGGAGGGCCAUCCCUGGGGGAGCAAGUGGCAGCCUGAGAGGCGUCCGCCUCCCCUCUGAUUUCCUGCACAGUUACCGAGGGAUAGUGUGCUAGAAAUGGCUCUGCUGUCGAAUGCAUUUUCUUGCCAUUUUCAUGUCCCGAUACUGCAUAAACAAUCACCUGAUCGAUCGGAAUAGGAGGGAAAGGUAGAGUGGAAAUUGAUUUCUUGCAGAGACUGAGUCGCCGGAUGAUAGAGGGAAUAAACAUUUGCCCUGGAUAGAAAUGUUCUUGGCUAUAUUCCAUCCUUAAUGAUGUCAUAGAACAGAAGUUUUUCUUCAGUUCACUCAUUUUACCAUAAGGAUGGAUGGCUUCUGUGUGUUUCUGCUUUACAGAGAAUGACAAAUGUUGCUAAGAGGCUCUGAGGGCCACCUAAAAAGGAUCAAUAUCCUGAAUUACAUUCAUUUCAAAUAAACCUUAACAAUUCUGAUACAUAGAAAUUGUACUUUUCAUAUAAGACCUCAAUAUACUGCCUAACUCUACUUGACCUAAUUUGCUAUUCAAAGAAAUCCGACUUAAAUUAGAAAAAAUGUUAACUUUGAAAUUUUUUAUAUAUAUAAAACAAAUGUAAGACUGCUAUUCUUAAAUAUUUUGGACAAAAGAACCACAUAAGAAAAAUAUUAAUUUUAUAACCUACAGUUCCUAAACUUUAAAAUAGUUUGUAGCAUUUAAAGUUUUAUUAAACAAUUUAAGUAUUUGAACAUUAAAUAAUAUGUUUACAUUUAAUCAACUCCAAAAUAGCUGCCUUUAAUCUUCUGAACAAAUCUGGUUUUUACUUGCACUGCUCUCAAAAAUUACACAUUUCUGCUUUAUGUUGAGAUUAUUUAGUCCUAGAUGACCAAAAUGUACAUCUACAUUUGGUAAUUUAGUACAUUUUACAUGAUUGGUCACAUUUUUGUUUGUUAUCCUGGCGGCUUCUUUUACAUGUGUGAGUAAAAACUAAUAUAUUUCUUACCUAUUAACUCACUGAAAUUUCUAAUUGAAAGCAACAUUUAAGAAAUAUUAGGGCUCGGGGUAGAGCUUAGUGGAAUAAUUUGUGCUUAGCCAUGUGUUGAGGCCCUGGGUUUGAUCCCCAGUACAGCCAAAACAAAAGAAAGACAGAUAUAUUGUAUUACAGAAAUUGUGAUGUGAUUUGCUCAUGAAGCAAGAUGUCCAUAUGCUUAAUAUUUUUAAUUUUAAAUAUAAUUUAUAACAAAAGUGAUAUAAGAUGAGUCAAUUUAGAGUAUCCUUUGCAAAAGACCCUCAUACAUGACACACAGUUAUUCAUAUAUAAUUUCAUUCAUUAAAAAUAUUGAAAUUUACUUUCUUUGCUAUGUGCUUAUUUUCUUUCUAGAGCUUUCUAUUUGAAAGUGUAUAAGAUUUAUUAAGUACCUAUGUGUGUAGACAUCUUCACUUCUUACAUUAUAAAAUAAAUAUGCUAAAAUGCAUUUGAAGCUCAAGGAAAGUAUGCUAGAACUUGAAAACUAGAUGUUAAACUAUUAGUGUAAUCAUACACCAAACUGUAACCUAACAAUCUUUAAGUAGAGCUCUCCUAACUUCUUAGUUACUGCACAUUCUAAUAAUCAAAUUAUUAUUAGUUGCUAAGAAAAGCACUGUUUGAGACUGAGAUAAGGAGUAAGAGAAAGAAUGAAAAAGUAAUAGAUCCAGCCUUCUUAGAGUUUAUUUUGUUGAUAAACGAAUAUUCUUCAUAUAGAAAUUUAUUUCCCUGCUGUAUUUUGUCCCCUACAGCCCAUUCUCCACACCACUGCCCUCAGAAGAUUGGAGAGUAUUUUACAAUAUAACACUGAUUUCUCAAGAAUUGGCAUAAGAGUUCUUUUUGUAUAUACCUUGAGUUGCUCCCUAGAAUAUCUUCCCUACUCAAUAUGAACUUUAGAUAAUUCCAACCACCUGUAAUUAUAUUUCAUUGUAUCACCUCACUGUUCUACUUCUUAAAUUCCCUGCAGUGUAGAAAGUAGGAUUAUUUAAUGAGCUACAUACACAUCAUCAGAUAUUUAAUUAGACUCCAACAUAUUUAUGAACCCCCCCCCCCACACACACACACACAAAAUGAAAGAGACUACGACAAUGUCUUGUGGUGGAAACAUUAUAUGAUAAUAAAAAGUUCAUGUUCUUUUAACAAAAACAGCCAUUCAAAAUUAUUUAGUUUUCUGGAGUGGUUGGAGCCAUAAUAGUUUUCCCCCACAUAUUAUAUAUAUAGUUAAAGAAUGGCAAACCUAAAGGCAAACACUAACACCAAAAUCCAUUUGGCAGUUUUUGUUCCUACAUUAAACAGUACAAGAACAGAGGAAUCAAUUUAAUCAUUUUUAAAUGUCUGUAAUGUGUUCUUAUAAAAUUACAAUUUUUGAACUAACCUAAAAAGUUAUUGUUUUAUGAAAGCACUAAUGCUUUAUAGAAGCAUUUCUGGGAACAUUUAAGUAGUGUUUGCACGACUGAGUGUAUUUUGUGUGAUUAAUAGUAACUUUUCACACAUGUAAUGAAGUACAUAGCUUUACCCAUUUUGAAGCACUUACUGUCAACUACUGGUUCAAUGAAGAAUGAAAUAUAAUUAUAGUUUUCCCAUAUUUGAUCUCAACUCCCUCACUUUAUAUUCUAGCUAUCUAGCACAGAACUCUAAUAGAGCAGAAGCUUUAUAAACAUUUAAUGGAUGAAACUAAGUACUCUUUCCCUCUUUAACAUGACCGUUUUUUGUUU